This 48-nucleotide non-coding RNA is filed under the name Trypanosoma brucei brucei. The record is from RNAcentral. Lineage: Eukaryota; Euglenozoa; Kinetoplastea; Trypanosomatida; Trypanosomatidae.
ACAUAAAGACAAUAGGUGUUCAUUGCAGUAGAUAUUGAUAUAAUUUAU